CCAUUUAUAAUAAAAUUAUUUACCAUGUUCUUUUGAGGGAAAAUCUCUCCCGUUUACAUGCAUCAGAAUUUAAGUAGGUUGUUACUUUCCGACAUUGGACAUGGAAGUAACGUGGAUGAGUUUCAGUAUAUGCAGUGUCUAAGCGGUACGAUAUUGAAUGAGAUACAGGAAAUUUGUUCUGUUGCCAAUGGAGCUACUAAAAAGGGAAAUUAGUCGGGCAAAAGAAUACAUUGUGAAGCAACUUGAGCUUGAAAUGGGUCAAUCAGUAGAAAUGGGGACUAUACACGCUGAUGAUUUCAUGAGGCGCUUUUGUUCCAAUCUUGGUAUGACUCACUAGACUGUCAAAGCGGCCCAGGAAUCUGUCAAGAAGUCAGAGGAGUUUGAUAUAAGUGGAAUGGUGAUGAAGUGGGUUGUAGAGGAGCCGUUACAGAUAACAUUGUGGACCCGACCACAUCAUUGUGGACUAAUUGGAUGGCCCUUACUGAGUUCCAUUUCCUUCUUCAUGUCGUUUAUGUGGUUUAGUGCUAUCUCACACUUAUCCCUUUGUAUAAUGUAGGUUCUGCUCGAAGCAGUUUCAAUAACAGUGUGGCUAAUCAAAAAUGAAGAUGAGGGCACACAAACAUGGAUAGACAAACAGGACAACGUGUUUGUAAUAUCAAACAAGAAAUCUAAGUAUCCAAUACUUCAAGUAGAUGUAAGUUUGGUGGGCAUAUUCUUACUUAGAGGGAACAUAACAUAAGGCUCAAAAAGGAAUUCGCCGCCUUAUGAAAAACUUGUGGAGCCUAGUCAAGCUAUGAUUACAGAAGAUUUUUCUAAGCUUCAAGUAUCCCAACGGGUGUCCAAAGUUAAUACUGCAUCAAUAGAGAAAUUAUCCAGCUUGCUCACCAUGGAAUGAUCUUCGUGCCAAUUGAAUAUACUUUUAGAGCUGACAUAUUCUAAAUGGAGAAGGCGAAAGGUGGAUGUCCAUAUGGUGCAGGUACUUAUGCAGGGGAUGGGUCAAUCUUUUGUUCAAAAGUUACCUAAGAUAAUCUACGUUGAA
This is a long non-coding RNA of Erigeron canadensis, 1039 nucleotides long. RefSeq lists it as uncharacterized. The transcript is spliced from 8 exons. The record is from RefSeq and is a predicted model, not a curated record. Lineage: Eukaryota; Viridiplantae; Streptophyta; Magnoliopsida; Asterales; Asteraceae.